Molecule: ribosomal RNA, 593 nt
Filed under: Klebsiella planticola
Lineage: Bacteria; Pseudomonadati; Pseudomonadota; Gammaproteobacteria; Enterobacterales; Enterobacteriaceae
Also listed under: 3 other names
Description: partial 23S ribosomal RNA
Rfam family: Bacterial large subunit ribosomal RNA
Source: RNAcentral
UGUUUCGGCUAGGGGGUCAUCCCGACUUACCAACCCGAUGCAAACUACGAAUACCGAAGAAUGUUAUCACGGGAGACACACGGCGGGUGCUAACGUCCGUCGUGAAGAGGGAAACAACCCAGACCGCCAGCUAAGGUCCCAAAGUCAUGGUUAAGUGGGAAACGAUGUGGGAAGGCACAGACAGCCAGGAUGUUGGCUUAGAAGCAGCCAUCAUUUAAAGAAAGCGUAAUAGCUCACUGGUCGAGUCGGCCUGCGCGGAAGAUGUAACGGGGCUAAACCAUGCACCGAAGCUGCGGCAGCGACACUAUGUGUUGUUGGGUAGGGGAGCGUUCUGUAAGCCGUUGAAGGUGGCCUGUGAGGGUUGCUGGAGGUAUCAGAAGUGCGAAUGCUGACAUAAGUAACGAUAAAGCGGGUGAAAAGCCCGCUCGCCGGAAGACCAAGGGUUCCUGUCCAACGUUAAUCGGGGCAGGGUGAGUCGACCCCUAAGGCGAGGCCGAAAGGCGUAGUCGAUGGGAAACAGGUUAAUAUUCCUGUACUCGGUGUUACUGCGAAGGGGGGACGGAGAAGGCUAUGUUAGCCGGGCGACGGUUGUC